Molecule: non-coding RNA, 75 nt
Organism: Loxodonta africana (African savanna elephant)
Lineage: Eukaryota; Metazoa; Chordata; Mammalia; Proboscidea; Elephantidae
Source: Rfam
GUUAGGAUGGCAGAGCCUGGUUAUGGCGUAAAAAUUAAACAUGUUUAAACAGAGGUUCAACUCUUCUUCUUAACA